Molecule: ribosomal RNA, 405 nt
Filed under: uncultured bacterium
Lineage: Bacteria
Description: bacterial SSU rRNA
Rfam family: Bacterial small subunit ribosomal RNA
Source: RNAcentral
UAGGGAAUAUUGCAUAAUGGGCGAAAGCCUGAUGCAGCAACGCCGCGUGUGCGAUGACGGCCUUCGGGUUGUAAAGCACUUUUGGAAGGGAUGAGGAAGGACAGUACCUUUCGAAUAAGCCUCGGCUAACUACGUGCCAGCAGCCGCGGUAAAACGUAGGAGGCGAGCGUUAUCCGGAUUUACUGGGCGUAAAGCGCGUGCAGGCGGUUUGGUAAGUUGGAUGUGAAAGCUCCUGGCUUAACUGGGAGAGGUCGUUCAAUACUACCAGACUUGAGUGUGGGAGAGGGAGGCGGAAUUCCGGGUGUAGUGGUGAAAUGCGUAGAUAUCCGGAGGAACACCAGUGGCGAAAGCGGCCUCCUGGCCCAAUACUGACGCUCAGACGCGAAAGCUAGGGGAGCGAACGGG